Molecule: ribosomal RNA, 262 nt
Filed under: uncultured bacterium
Lineage: Bacteria
Description: partial 16S ribosomal RNA
Rfam family: Bacterial small subunit ribosomal RNA
Source: RNAcentral
UGGUCCUACGGGGCGCAGCAGUGAGGAAUAUUGGUCAAUGGGCGGGAGCCUGAACCAGCCAAGUCGCGUGAGGGAUGACGGCCCUAUGGGUUGUAAACCUCUUUUGCCGGGGAGAAAAGUGCCGCACGUGUGCGGUUUGGAGAGUACCCGGAGAAAAAGCAUCGGCGAACUCCGUGCAAGCAGCCGCGGUAAUACGGAGGAUGAGAGCGUUAUCCGGAUUUAUUGGGUUUAAAGGGUGCGUAGGCGGACGCUUAAGUCAGCG